Molecule: long non-coding RNA, 430 nt
Filed under: Lupinus mutabilis
Lineage: Eukaryota; Viridiplantae; Streptophyta; Magnoliopsida; Fabales; Fabaceae
Description: partial ncRNA
Source: RNAcentral
CCCAUUCAAUCUACACUUAAUUUUGUCAUCUUUUUCCACAGAAAGCCAUGCACCACCCCUUGUCAUGAAACUCAGAUAUCUCUUAACAUAAAAAAAUGAGCUUCUCCUUCAGCUUCCAUGUUCCUAAAGCUCUGCCUCCUCUUCCAACUUCACCACAUGGAACUGUUUCUCUCUUUACUGCUUCCAAACACAAACCAUCUCAGAAAAACAUUACUCCUUCUCAAUCACUACAUCAUAUAAUAACAUGCAGCAAACAGAAGCCAAGUGAUUAUGUCAGUCUAAAGAAACCAAGUUUGGCACUGCAUUUAGGAGGACUCUUGGCCUUAGUGAGAUUCUUAUAUAUAGAAAUUCACUUCUUGUAUAUAAAAAUGAUAUAUAUACAGAACUUGAAAGUAGCUAUUUUGAACAGAUUGGGCAGCCAGCCAAAACU